Molecule: ribosomal RNA, 1017 nt
Filed under: Lambiella caeca
Lineage: Eukaryota; Fungi; Ascomycota; Lecanoromycetes; Baeomycetales; Xylographaceae
Description: partial 18S small subunit ribosomal RNA
Rfam family: Eukaryotic small subunit ribosomal RNA
Source: RNAcentral
UACUGUGAAACUGCGARUGGCUUUUAAUGGGCCAUUGUUGAUURCCSWKAMMUUUGGGUUCCGCCACGAUAUUAAAGUGSGAAAACUGCUUGGCUUAUUGUCUGGCGAAUCCGCAGCCGGCCCCGCGGGGUCGGUCCAACGACUAAAUAAUAACGGCUGACUUUGAGUCAGCUAANAUAUAGUCUCAACCCCUGAAGUGAUUCAGCGGGAUCGUUGCAUUAAAUCAGUUAUCGUUUAUUUGAUAGUACCUCACUACAUGGAUAACCGUGGUAAUUCUAGAGCUAAUACAUGCUAAAAACCUCAACUUCGGAAGGGGUGUAUUUAUUAGAUAAAAAACCAAUGCCCUUCGGGGCUCCUUGGUGAUUCAUAAUAACUCAACGAAUCGCAUGGCCUUGCGCCGGCGAUGGUUCAUUCAAAUUUCUGCCCUAUCAACUUUCGAUUGUAAGGUAGUGGUACGUUCUUCCCUUUUUCUUUGAUAAUCAGAUGGUCACGUAGCUAACAUACAACCCUAGGCCUACAAUGGUGGCAACGGGUAACGGGGAAUUAGGGUUCUAUUCCGGAGAGGGAGCCUGAGAAACGGCUACCACAUCCAAGGAAGGCAGCAGGCGCGCAAAUUACCCAAUCCCGACACGGGGAGGUAGUGACAAUACAUAUCGAUCGUGGGCUCUUUUGGGUCUACGAAUUGAAAUGAGUACAAUUUAAAUCCCUUAACGAGGAACAAUUGGAGGGCAAGUCUGGUGAAACAGCUGGCGCCAGACCCACUAUAGGUGGGCAGCCCCCCGGGGCUGCCUGCCAGGCAUCCGGUACGGGAAAAAGCUUUAGCGCUUUAUCCCGUGGCGAGGGGAAACCCCGCCGUAACGCAUGGAAAGAUGCCGGCSACCCCCGGGGGUCGUCUGAAGGACWUGCUAUACRAAUCUGCCGAGGAUCCUUAGGGGUCCCCUUCGGGGGCCCUGWWWWUAGGCCAGCAGCCSCGUAAUUCCAGCUCCAAUASCGWWWWUAAAGUUGUUGCAUUAAAAA